GUGGGGAAUAUUGGACAAUGGGCGAAAGCCUGAUCCAGCCAUGCCGCGUGGAUGAUGACGGCCUUAGGGUUGUAAAGUCCUUUCGACGGGGAAGAUAAUGACGGUACCCGUAGAAGAAGCCCCGGCUAACUUCGUGCCAGCAGCCGCGGUAAUACGAAGGGGGCUAGCGUUGCUCGGAAUCACUGGGCGUAAAGCGCACGUAGGCGGCUUUCUAAGUCAGGGGUGAAAUCCUGGAGCUCAACUCCAGAACUGCCUUUGAUACUGGAGAGCUUGAGUUCGGGAGAGGUGAGUGGAACUGCGAGUGUAGAGGUGAAAUUCGUAGAUAUUCGCAAGAACACCAGUGGCGAAGGCGGCUCACUGGCCCGAUACUGACGCUGAGGUGCGAAAGCGUGGGGAGCAAACAGGAUUAGAAACCCGAGUAGUCC
Molecule: ribosomal RNA, 425 nt
Filed under: uncultured bacterium
Lineage: Bacteria
Description: partial 16S ribosomal RNA
Rfam family: Bacterial small subunit ribosomal RNA
Source: RNAcentral